Molecule: long non-coding RNA, 1457 nt
Organism: Lagopus muta (rock ptarmigan)
Lineage: Eukaryota; Metazoa; Chordata; Aves; Galliformes; Phasianidae
Exons: 3
Source: RefSeq, a predicted model, not a curated record
AUUUCUCAGCCCUUGACCACGACUCAUCUGGACUUGUCCUCAGCAAGCUUUAUAAGGAUUUGCUGCCGAGACUAGCUUUGGAACAGACUUCCCAUAGCAUGCAGAUGAUUUGUACCAUUGUACAGAUUUGUGAUCCAAGAAAAAUAGAAGUUCCAUAGGGAGAAAAUAAUAAAGAGAAGCACCAAAAGAAAUACCAGUUUCACACAGAUAAUGGGAGUCAGCUUGUGGUGGCCAACAAGGCUACAAGAGUUGGUGGCAGAAAAAGAAAUGAUAAUACUAGCAACUGUGCAGAAUUGUGACUUCGGAGGAACUAAAAAACAGCUGCAGUGCUAAACAACAGCCAAAGUUUGGAGCACCACUGGGCACACAGAAAUGAGGAUGGAGUGGUGAGUGAGAAGAAUCUUCGUAGGCUUCCAAGCAAUCAGUUUUCACGAGUGUCAAAGAGUUGCAAAUAUCUAUUUUCAGGCAAACUUUGUCUUACUGAGAUUGAUAAAAUAGUCUUUUGGUAGCUCUGCAAAAAAUUAAUAAUACUCUAUUAUUUCUUAGCUCAUCAAAAGAGUUCUCAUGUUUCUCAGCCAGUUCCAUUUUUGUCAUGAACAAAUGGCUUUUUCUCUAACAUAAGAAUAUACAUAUAUGAAUGAAUCUAUAUGACUACAUGAAUUAGCAACAGAGUACCUCAUAUUUACUAUUCCUUCAUGAAUGGAAGAAUUUAGAUUCCCUUUAGUGAAAAAUAUUUUUGAAAUAGAAAUAUUUAGCAGAUGGUUUCAACCAAAUCCAGGAACUUCUCACUUUUCUUUGUAAGACACUAAAACAACAUAAUGCUGAAACCAUUGUUUCCUUUGUAUUGUCCAUGACUCACUUGACCUAGGAUGGUUAAAGUACAUCUGAAUGAGAGCUUAAACAAGUAGUUCAACUCAAUUAUGCAGAGAGUAAGCUUAGGCAAAUGUUUUAUAACAUAGCAUCAUAUACUGAUAGCACUGAAUUCUGAAUUUUGAUGCUACUACAUUUUCUGGCAGAUAAAUUUUGGGUUUUGAUUAUUUUUUUUCCUUUGUUCCAUCAUGUUUGUUUGUUUGUUUUUUUGGAAGCACUUUCUGUUUUGUUGUUGUUGUUUUGUUAGGUUGCUUUAAAGUAAGUAGUUUCCAAUUCUUCAUUUUUAUUGCUUUUCUUUAAAGUCUCUUAUUUAUUUAUUUAUUUAUUUAUUUAUUUAUUUCUUAAUUAUUCCUACACUCCUAUUUGAAGCACAAAAGGGUUUUCCAUGAUUAUGAUCUGUAUGUCUCUACUCACAAGCUUCUGACUGCAAGUCAUCCUUUGCUACAACUGUUGAAAUUAGUUGUAUAGCUUUCUUGAUGUGAAUUCUCAUGCAAAAUACGGAAUGGGACUAUCUACCAAAUUGAUCAACUUAUAUAUAUUUUUUUUCCUUGUCUCCUGUCUUUACAGCUUUUCCGUCUCUGUAUAGU